UGUAUCGUUUGAUUCCAAUUCGUAGUUACUUCUUUUGUUAAAUUUAAGCUUGAUUAUUUUAGUAAAUCUUUAUGCCUUAUGUCUAAAUACAUAUACAUAAUACAUAUGCAAUACUGUAUACGUAUAGUUUUUAUAAUGUUGCUGAGCAUUUUGAGUGUGUAGGGUGUGACAAAGGCAAAACAGGGAACAACUACUUUAUAUAGGAAGAAGAGGUUGAAGUCACUGGUUUUAUUGAUGAUGGUGUUCGAAAUCAACCCAAGUUAAUGUUAAAACGUUAUCAAACUUUUCGUUAUGGUGAGAAUUGAGAACUUAGAACCCUUCUCUUAUAUGGUUCCUAUUUUUGAAAUAAAAAAUUGAAUUACUUUUCUAUACCUUUUUGUAAUCAUUCUCUGCGAAUUUGUUAAUUGUUUUAAUAUAUGAGGUAGGAUUUCUACUUUCGACA
Pyrus x bretschneideri (Chinese white pear) is the source of this 442-nucleotide long non-coding RNA. RefSeq lists it as uncharacterized. The record is from RefSeq and is a predicted model, not a curated record. The transcript is spliced from 2 exons. Lineage: Eukaryota; Viridiplantae; Streptophyta; Magnoliopsida; Rosales; Rosaceae.